UGGGACUCAGGGCAUCCGGUCCUUGGAGAAUGGUUUGGCAAAAGAGAGCCUGGAUGCUGGGGGUUGGGCGCUGGGCAGGAGAGCUAAGUCCAAUGGAGAGCGAGGCCUUAGAAGACACACCCUGAGUCCCUUCUCUAUUUGAUUUUUCCAAGAGGAAAGACAUCUGAUAACCGACCCUAACCCAUCUCUCUGGUCCAGGAUGGUCAAGGCCUAGGUCUAGGACAAUCUGGGAUAUUCCCCCAGGACCCAGCUUCCCACCCUCAGGACAGCCCUCUCCACCCCUAACCCACCUCUCUCCCACCCUCCCCAAACGCCUCUGCUUCCGGGCCCCCAGCGUACCCCACACCAUCUACACUCGGCUCCAGCCCGAGCCCCACCCUCCCGGGGGGACAGAUGGAGCUGGAGGAGGCGGUCGGCGCGGCUCCGCCAGGUGUCCGAGGAUGAAGAGGGGGAGGCGGCCCCGCCGAGCUCGGCUGCGUGGGCUGGAUUUCCUAGUGCCCAUACCCAGGUACCCCCACGUCUCUGAUUUGUUCCCCUCAAAUCCAGCAAUCCAGCUUGGCUCUUGGCUUCCGAUGCCUCUCCAAGCAGGACCAGGCACCCACAUCGCCCUCCGAGUUCCUCCCCAACCGUACCUGGGCCCUGCCGGGAGGGAGGAAGUGGUCGUCUUCCUGUGGGUAGGUUGCCUGCUCCGCGUCCUGACGAGGCUGUUGGCUGGUGCCCGGGAAUCCACAGCUCGCUUCGCCAGGCACCGGGGGCUCGGCCGCAGCGCCAGGGCUGCUCCACUGGGACUUCUUCAGCCUGUGGAGAUUUUAGGCUUAGCAGAGGUGCCUGGAGGCCAGGCUUCCUGUCUCUCCAUUCUUCACCUUUCUGCCCUAAAAUACUUUCUGCUGGGACGGAGGGGCAUUGUCCUUUGACUUCCUACUCUCCACUCCCACUGUCUGCUCCCCUCAGACUGAAGUAUUUUUAGUUCAAGGACUCAGAGGUGACCACUAGCUCCCCACUGUCCUCCAGGUCUAUGGAGUGCUUUCCUGGCUUUAGUGAUCCAAUUUCCACUUCUUCUAGCUCAGGAUGGCUCAUCCACCAUCCCUUCGCUCCCGCCUUUCCACAUUAUGGAAAUUCUGCUGCGAUCCCACCAAGUUCAUGAUUCAUUUCCAAACAACCUCCAAUUCCUUCAAAAUCCUCCACCCCUUCCUUAGUUCAAACCAUUCUGCCUCCAAACCCUGCUAGGCUCCCGGAGCCCAGAUGUCGCUCCUUACUCAUUGAUGAUUCUCUGUCGCCUCCUUAGAUCCUCCAGGUGGUAAGUGACAGCCCUUACCCGGGCUGGGAUGCCCCCAGGUCCCUGCAUUCCUGCCAAAUAUGACCUCCUCCUCUUUCUUCUGAAAAGCAUCUCAGGGGGUGGGAGCCCCUCAGGUGGGUACACGCCAGGCUGGGAACAACCAGUGGCUCUCUGUGCCAAAGAAGGGGGAAAGGAGGUAGAUGGCAGAACGGGGGCUCUCGGGGGAGCUUCGACUGAAACAGGGAGUCAGGGGUCUUGGGAAGCUCAGAUCACGAAAACAGCUGUGAUCUGGAAAACACGAUGGAUAGAAAGGAGGGCCUGUUCUGUGCUUUGGUUGGGGGACACUAGAGGGAACGUGUAAUAGGAGAGCUGGGGUGCAGUUUUAACCGAGAAGUAUUGAAGGGCAGAAGGUUUGUCAUACCUGCAGGGAGGGGAUGUACCGUUCUUCCAUCCAGGUGGAGCUGUGAAGCACAAAAAAGGGGGCUAAGUGCAGCGCGGCACCCCCAUCCAUGUUGUUUCCCUAAUGAUCUCUCCCAACCACCUAUUUAUCUAUUAUCAGGAGCCUACAAAGUCCAUCAACCAGUGAGGCAGUUAUUCCCAGACUAGUGCAUAUUGCUAUAGAGCUUUCUUCCCCUUAAUCCUCACCUGAGGACCUGCUUUUAUUGAUUUUAGAGUGAGAAGAAGGGAGAGAGAAACAUUGAUCAGUUGCCUCCUCACUUGUGCCAACCAGGGAUCAAACCCGAAACCUGAGUAUGUGCCCCAACCAGGGUUCAAACCUGUCACCUUUCCGUGUUCAAGUCAACUAAGCCACACCGGCCAGGGCUGUCAAGCUUUGUGAGUGUUAAAAUUGUACAGCCUCACCUUCCCACCGCCAGUUAGUCCCCGUUUUCCCAUUUCGCCCACCUGGGCCUUUCACUAAGGCUGUCCUGGAAGACGUCUCCAUAAUGCUGGCGUGUCAGUCUGAGGCUCUGGGGAGGCAAGCUGGGGGGUGAGGAUCGGCUGACCACCCUGGAACACCUGCGGGAGAGUGGAAGAGAGUGGGAAAGACAGACAGAAACAUCUCUGUGAAAGAGACACAUCGAUUGGUUGCCUCCUGGAUGUACCCCAACCAGGAUCCCUG
Long non-coding RNA from Myotis daubentonii (Daubenton's bat), 2396 nucleotides. RefSeq lists it as uncharacterized. The transcript has 3 exons. The record is from RefSeq and is a predicted model, not a curated record. Lineage: Eukaryota; Metazoa; Chordata; Mammalia; Chiroptera; Vespertilionidae.